RNAcentral lists this ribosomal RNA (253 nucleotides) under uncultured bacterium. Its description in RNAcentral is "partial 16S ribosomal RNA". It matches the Rfam family "Bacterial small subunit ribosomal RNA", at positions 524 to 776 of the family's 1533-position model. The record is from RNAcentral.
UACGUAGGCAGCAAGCGUUGUUCGGAGUUACUGGGCGUAAAGGGUGUGUAGGUGGCUUUUUAAGUCCGCCGUCAAAUCCCAGGGCUCAACUCUGGACAGGCGGUGGAAACUACCAAGCUGGAGUACGGUAGGGGCAGAGGGAAUUUCCGGUGGAGCGGUGAAAUGCGUAGAGAUCGGGAAGAACACCAACGGCGAAAGCACUCUGCUGGGCCGACACUGACACUGAGAGACGAAAGCUAGGGGAGCGAAUGGG